GACGAACGCUGGCGGCGUGCCUAAUACAUGCAAGUCGAACGCAGUGGGGACGGGUGAGUAACACGUGGGUAACCUCCCAUCAGAGGGGAUAACACUUGGAAACAGGUGCUAAACCGAUACUGAUGGAUGGACCCGCGGUGCAUUCGCUAGUUGGUGAGGUAACGGCUCACCAAGGCCACGAUGCAUAGCCGGCCUGAGAGGGUGAGCGGCCACACUGGGACUGAGACACGGCCCAGACUCCUACGGGAGGCAGCAGUAGGGAAUCUUCUGCAAUUGACGAAAGUCUGACCGAGCAACGCCGCGUGAGUGAAGAAGGUUUUCGGAUUGUAAAGCUCUUUUGUUCGAGAAGCGGGAUCUAACCAGGAAGCCACGGCUAACUACGGGCCAGCAGCCGCGGUAAUUC
Molecule: ribosomal RNA, 403 nt
Filed under: uncultured bacterium
Lineage: Bacteria
Description: partial 16S ribosomal RNA
Rfam family: Bacterial small subunit ribosomal RNA
Source: RNAcentral